RNAcentral lists this ribosomal RNA (1347 nucleotides) under uncultured bacterium. Its description in RNAcentral is "bacterial SSU rRNA". It matches the Rfam family "Bacterial small subunit ribosomal RNA", at positions 28 to 1381 of the family's 1533-position model. The record is from RNAcentral.
GACGAACGCUGGCGGCGUGCUUAACACAUGCAAGUCGAACGAUGAAGCCUAGCUUGCUAGGUGGAUUAGUGGCGAACGGGUGAGUAAUACGUGAGUAACCUACCUUUAACUCUGGGAUAAGCCUGGGAAACUGGGUCUAAUACCGGAUACGACCAAUCUCCGCAUGGGGUGUUGGUGGAAAGCGUUAUGUAGUGGUUAUAGAUGGGCUCACGGCCUAUCAGCUUGUUGGUGAGGUAACGGCUCACCAAGGCGACGACGGGUAGCCGGCCUGAGAGGGUGACCGGCCACACUGGGACUGAGACACGGCCCAGACUCCUACGGGAGGCAGCAGUGGGGAAUAUUGCACAAUGGGCGCAAGCCUGAUGCAGCGACGCCGCGUGAGGGAUGACGGCCUUCGGGUUGUAAACCUCUGUUAGCAGGGAAGAAGAGAGAUUGACGGUACCUGCAGAGAAAGCGCCGGCUAACUACGUGCCAGCAGCCGCGGUAAUACGUAGGGCGCGAGCGUUGUCCGGAAUUAUUGGGCGUAAAGAGCUUGUAGGCGGUUUGUCGCGUCUGCUGUGAAGGCCGGGGCUUAACUCCGUGUAUUGCAGUGGGUACGGGCAGACUAGAGUGUAGUAGGGGAGACUGGAAUUCCUGGUGUAGCGGUGGAAUGCGCAGAUAUCAGGAGGAACACCGAUGGCGAAGGCAGGUCUCUGGGCUGUAACUGACGCUGAGAGGCGAAAGCAUGGGGAGCGAACAGGAUUAGAUACCCUGGUAGUCCAUGCCGUAAACGUUGGGCACUAGGUGUGGGGGACAUUCCACGUUUUCCGCGCCGUAGCUAACGCAUUAAGUGCCCCGCCUGGGGAGUACGGCCGCAAGGCUAAAACUCAAAGAAAUUGACGGGGGCCCGCACAAGCGGCGGAGCAUGCGGAUUAAUUCGAUGCAACGCGAAGAACCUUACCAAGGCUUGACAUAUACUGGACCGCAUCAGAGAUGGUGUUUCCCUUCGGGGCUGGUAUACAGGUGGUGCAUGGUUGUCGUCAGCUCGUGUCGUGAGAUGUUGGGUUAAGUCCCGCAACGAGCGCAACCCUCGUUCUAUGUUGCCAGCACGUUAUGGUGGGGACUCAUAGGAGACUGCCGGGGUCAACUCGGAGGAAGGUGGGGAUGACGUCAAAUCAUCAUGCCCCUUAUGUCUUGGGCUUCACGCAUGCUACAAUGGCCGGUACAGAGGGUUGCGAUACUGUGAGGUGGAGCUAAUCCCUAAAAGCCGGUCUCAGUUCGGAUUGGGGUCUGCAACUCGACCCCAUGAAGUCGGAGUCGCUAGUAAUCGCAGAUCAGCAACGCUGCGGUGAAUACGUUCCCGGGCCU